CUUGGUCAUUUAGAGGAAGUAAAAGUCGUAACAAGGUUUCCGUAGGUGAACCUGCGGAAGGAUCAUUCAUAAUAAGUGUUUUAUGGCACUUUUUAAAUCCAUACCCACCUUGUGUGCAAUGUCAGUCGAUCUUCUUCAUGGAGAUCGACCAAACAUCAACCUUUAUUUUUUAACUCUUUGUCUGAAAAAUAUUAUGAAUAAACAAUUCAAAAUACAACUUUCAACAACGGAUCUCUUGGCUCUCGCAUCGUUGAAGAACGCAGCGAAAUGCGAUACGUAAUGUGAAUUGCAGAAUUCAGUGAAUCAUCGAAUCUUUGAACGCAUAUUGCGCUCUUUGGUGUUCCGAAGAGCAUGCUUGUUUGAGUAUCAGUAAACACCUCAAAGCUUUUGGAUUUUUUAAUCGAAAAGCUUUGGACUUGAGCAAUCCCAACACCAAUCUUUUUGAGAUCGGUGGCGGGUUGCUUGAAAUGCAGGUGCAGCUGGACAUUCUCCUGAGCUAAAAGCAUAUUCAUUUAGUCCCGUCAAACGGAUUAUUACUUUUGCUGCAGCUAACAUAAAGGGAGUUUGACCGUAUUGGCUGACUGAUGCAGGAUUUCACAAGGGUCGGCAACGAUUCUUGUUAAACUCGAUCUCAAAUCAAGUAAGACUACCCGCUGAACUUAAGCAUAUCAAUAAGCGGAGGAAAAGAAACUAACAAGGAUUCCCCUAGUAACGGCGAGUGAAGCGGGAUGAGCUCAAAUUUAAAAUCUGGCUGGUUUACUAGUCCGAAUUGUAGUUUAUAGAAGCGUUUUCGGUGGCAGCCUGGGUAUAAAUCCUUUGGAAUAGGGUAUCAUAGAGGGUGAGAAUCCCGUCUUUGACUCAGUGCAUGCUACUAUGUGAUACGUUUUCAAAGAGUCGAGUUGUUUGGGAAU
Molecule: small RNA, 911 nt
Filed under: uncultured zygomycete
Lineage: Eukaryota; Fungi
Description: eukaryotic LSU rRNA
Rfam family: Eukaryotic large subunit ribosomal RNA (bases 627-911)
Source: RNAcentral